UGCAAAGUAGGAAAGUAAACUACUACAACCUCUAGAGCGCUACGCCCUUACCGCGAUCCUCACCGGGGGCGCUCGAGCUCGGACCUGCAACAAGGUGGGGUGAGAACUACGAAUAGUUCUCAGUGGGUUCGGCCGCCGACUCCGCCGAUCUCCCCACUAGGUCUAAGCAGGCACAGAUAGAUAUACAGAUAGAUAGAUAUGAAACGACAGUAGCAUGAUAAGGAAAUAGAAAGUAAUCUACUAUGUCUCAAUCUGAUAUAAUGAAUGCAUGAAACUCAUAGAAAAAGGCUAGCUACCAUACUACUAUGUUCAACAAUGAAGCUAUUCAUUAGAUCACCCAAUCUCUCGGCUAAACCGAGGCUCUCUCUCAGUCUCACGCGUAUAAGUCUCCUAGGGGAGGAGGCCAACUACUCAACUACCCCCGAGACCGCCUGUGGACAGCUAGCGGCUGUCCGNUCAUUAGAUCACCCAAUCUCUCGGCUAAACCCAGGCUCUCUCUCUGUCUCACGCGUGUAAGUCUCCUAGGGAAGGAGGUCAACUACUCAACUACCACCGACACCGCCUGUGGACAGCUAGCGGCUGUCCGGGCAGCUAGCGGCUACCCCUCAAGUGACAAAUACUCCGGAGUGCACAACUUGUGUGGAGCUACCACUACAAGUGCAGACAGGCUACGUGAGCUCGAUCCAAUCUCAUGAACUGGGAACAUCCUACCAACUAAGGUUGGUGUUAUCAUGGAAUCAAAGUAUUCUAAUACUU
Molecule: long non-coding RNA, 756 nt
Filed under: Ananas comosus (pineapple)
Lineage: Eukaryota; Viridiplantae; Streptophyta; Magnoliopsida; Poales; Bromeliaceae
Description: long non-coding RNA (ACOM_LNC025754)
Source: RNAcentral